UGUAUUCCUUCCACACAGUGGUUCCUGUGAUUCUGAAGGCCCUGACCUAUGACGAGAAGCGGGGUGCUUGCAGUGUGGGCUCCAAUGUCCGAGAUGCUGCCUGUUAUGUGUGCUGGGCCUUUGCGCGUGCCUACGACCCACUGGAACUCCAGCCGUUUGUCACUCCCAUUGCCUGUGCCCUGGUGAUAGCUGCUGUGUUUGACCGGGAUGUCAAUUGCAGAAGAGCUGCUUCUGCUGCCUUCCAGGAGAAUGUUGGGAGACAGGGUACAUUCCCACAUGGCAUCGACAUUCUCACCACAGCAGACUACUUCACUGUUGGAAACCGGACAAACUGUUUCUUAAACAUAAGUGUGUAUAUUGCCAGUUUCCCAGAGUACACCCAGCCUAUGAUAGACCAUCUAGUAAGCAUGAAGAUAAACC
Long non-coding RNA from Acipenser ruthenus (sterlet), 420 nucleotides. RefSeq lists it as uncharacterized. The record is from RefSeq and is a predicted model, not a curated record. NCBI's taxonomy places the organism in Eukaryota, Metazoa, Chordata, Actinopteri, Acipenseriformes, Acipenseridae. The transcript has 5 exons.